This 416-nucleotide unclassified non-coding RNA is filed under the name Hevea brasiliensis (rubber tree). The record is from RNAcentral. Lineage: Eukaryota; Viridiplantae; Streptophyta; Magnoliopsida; Malpighiales; Euphorbiaceae.
UUUUGGCAACUUCUCGGUUUUUUUUUUUUAGUUUUAUUUUUCAAAUCAUGUUCCUAUUUUGGCAACAGUUGUGUUAUUUUCUGCUACUUUUCCAUCUGAACAUCUUGACUUAUUUUGAGUAUGCAUUAUGCUUUUGUAUUGCAAUAUAUUUUGGCAAUUUUAAUUGGCUGUUAACAGCAAGUACGGAUAAUAUACGGUGGAGCGAACAAUUACCUUUUUCUUGGCAAGAACAAUUACCUUUUUCUUGGCAAGAACAAUAAAUCACCAUGUUCAGGAACAUAUAAUCUUUUUUUUUUUACUUUUCAAAUAUUACUUGUAAUAGUUCUUGGUUUAACUUGGCAAUUGGGAGUGCCUUCCCUUUGUUUCCCUCACUUUACUUUUUUUUUAAAACAGGAACUGUUAUUCCCAUGCUUGAA